Molecule: long non-coding RNA, 2251 nt
Organism: Cyprinus carpio carpio
Lineage: Eukaryota; Metazoa; Chordata; Actinopteri; Cypriniformes; Cyprinidae
Source: Ensembl
CUGCUAAAAAACCUACAUUAAUCACUUCUCUUACAGAUAGCUACAGACCUGUCUCUCUCCUUCCAUUCAUAGCGAAAACCCUCGAAAGAGUUGUUUUCAAACAGGUAUCACUGUUUCUUUCUGUGAGGAGGCAGGUUUGAAAAACACAGGAAUUAUGGUGCAGCCACAAUUGCACAACAGUGCAAGGUCAUUUAUUUCCAGUGUCCACAGUCCCAAAAUACAAAAAUGUUACAAAAUAUUUACAACCAGCGCUUCGCUGAGCUACCUUCCACAAAAACGGAUUUCAACAUGCAUGGCUUGCACUACCAACUGUCCUCCUCAACUUCCCCCUCCUCAGUGAGAGAUAAAUCAACCCUUUUAUAGCACAGAGAGAAAAGAGAGUAACCAUUUGAAGGUAAGUACAAGAUAAGGAGCACUUUUUCAACCUUCUACAAAAAGAACAGUCCAGCCAGCGGAAGCAGAUCCAACACGGAAGACACCACAAGCAAGAAACCUCACAGCACGAACAGAGACACAAACUGACAAAUACACAGAUAAGUAAAUAAAAGAUGUAAUAAUUAAACCUAUCUGGUGUGUGCAUGUGAUUACUGAAAUGGUUAUAGCAGGGAUAUGUGAAGAUUAAAGUGAGUGUAUGCAUGUAUGCCAACAUAACAGUCGCACAAACCCUAUUUCCCUUUAUGUAUUCCAUCUCUUUCAAGCUUGUACUUAAACAAUGCCUAAAACUUGGUAUUACAAGCACUUCCUGUGUCUGUUUGCCUCUUUCAAAAGAAUCACUUAAUGUAUUCCCCAAUUGCAAACUGACUAAAUGUAAAUGUGUGUACAGGAGUAUUGAGGGUGGAAGAGAGUGUCCUACAUUGACUCCCCCCACGACACUUCCUGGAGGACCUGAGACUCGAAACUCACAACCUUCGGGUUACAAGUCCGACUCUCUAUGUAUUUGGCCACGGCUGAUUGAGCGAGAGUGUGUGUGUGUUGUGUGUUUUGCUCUGAUUCGUCCAUACGGCCCUUCUUUGAUGUACAGAUGACUGACAUCACCUAUAAAAUCCUGAAGAGCCUGUUUACGCCUGCAGCUGGUCCCCUCCAUACCUGCAUGCACACACCAGACACACACAUCACACUUGCACACAGUGUUUCCUCACAGCUGAGGAGUGUGUGUUUUAGCAUGACCGGCGACGAUGAAAGUUGAGUUGUCUGAGGAUGUUCAUCAGCUGACUGAUGACUCUGUCCACCCCCUGCAGAGCCAAGAUCAGCUGCACACACACACAGAUGUCAGCAGAUGUUUUGAAGUUGAAUGUAUUUUUUCAAUAUAAAUCAGCAUUUUAAAGCUGUUUGUGACAUUAGAUCAACAUCAUCUGAUGCUUCUGGAAUUUAUAUGUCACCAGAGAUAGGAAGUGAUAAGAAGCGUGUGAGAGAAAGAUCAUCAGCACACACCAGUGAGUGUGUGUCACCCACUUGUGAUUUCUGAUAAACUGCUGAGUGUGUGUGUGUGUUCUCACGCCUCUGCUGACAGGUCCAUAACUGUGUCCUGAACUAUCCGGCUCCUCUAAGUAGAUUGUGAAGAAACACACAGACAUGUCUGAUUGAUGGACAUCCAGUGAACCUUGUUUUGCCUUUGAAUGAAGUUUAUUUUUCUGACCCCCCAUGGACGGAUUUUUUUCAUUUUGAUCAGUUUCAGAAAAUAAGAAUUAAUCUUCUGUUAUUUAAAUGUAUCGUUUUAAGAAUGUUUAAAUCUUUGUUCAGGAAAGGACACAAACGAAAUACAGAAAUCUAAGUAAGAUUUUUUUUUUUUGUAUUGAAUGUUAACAGGUUGUGAAAAAAACAUUUAAGACGCUCCAGCUGUGAAAACUCCCUAAACACUAGAUCCUGCAGAUUCAGACACACGAUGUGAUGAAGGACGGUCACACACACACACACAAACACACACACACACACACACACACUCACACACUCACACACACAAACACACACACACACACUCUCACACACACACACAGACACACACACACACACACACACACACACGCACGCACACUCACACACACAAACACACACACACACACACACACACACACACACACACACACACACACACACACACACACACACACACACACACACACACACACACACACACACAAUAUAUGAUCAGGUCACACAUUCAGUCAUGUUUGAGUUUGCUCUGUGAGCUGAUAUAAUAAAUCGAAUGUUUGAAAGCAGGUAAAUGUAGCCCAUUAUUACUACUAUUAAUAAG